Molecule: ribosomal RNA, 205 nt
Filed under: uncultured bacterium
Lineage: Bacteria
Description: partial 16S ribosomal RNA
Rfam family: Bacterial small subunit ribosomal RNA
Source: RNAcentral
CGCGUAGGCGGUCUUGUCGGUCAGAUGUGAAAGCCCGGGGCUCAACCCCGGACGUGCAUUUGAAACAGCAAGACUUGAGUACGGGAGAGGAAAGCGGAAUUCCUGGUGUAGAGGUGAAAUUCAUAGAUAUCAGGAGGAACACCGAUGCGAAGGCAGCUUUCUGGACCGAUACUGACGCUGAGGCGCGAAGCCAGGGUAGCGAACG